Molecule: long non-coding RNA, 4278 nt
Organism: Acinonyx jubatus (cheetah)
Lineage: Eukaryota; Metazoa; Chordata; Mammalia; Carnivora; Felidae
Exons: 9
Source: RefSeq, a predicted model, not a curated record
UGUAGGCGGGGGGAUGGGCUCUACCGGAGAGUGCACCCCUCCCUGGUUGUGUGUUCCAGAAAGCUGGGCCUCGCCCUGCCCUCAGGAGGCACACAGCCCGAGGAAAGGUGACUGGGAAACCAAGUCAGUGCGGGGUUUAGAGCUGUCGUGGAGAGGAAAGCGAUGCCCACACUUCCCCAAACUUUGAAGACGAGAUUUGGGGCCCGCGGUAGGGAGGUUCCAUGUUGAGAAGGGAUGGUCCCUGUAAGCAAGGUGCUGUGCUUUGGUGAUCUGGGUAAUUGCUGCCCCAAGGACAGUCAGGUCCUUGAUUGCCUCACGUUAACAUCGCAAGACCUGGGCCUCUUGCCCUGUGGCUUCCUGCGAACCUGCUGGCAACCUCACAGGGAUUCACUGUCCUAAGUAUGCUUAGCAGAAGGGAGAAUAAUAGGGAUAAGUUUGUCAUAUACUUUACACAGAACUCUUGAAGGCCCUGACCAGUGGUGAAACCAUUCUGAGUGUGAGGCAGUGUGGCCGGUGGCCCAGCAAGCAGGUCAGAGGUAAUCAGGCACCUGAAUCCGGUGAGUCCCAGUGAGCAUCUCACUGGAGCAGACUGUCACCUGUGGAGCACCCCUGUGAACCACCCCUUGGUAUCCACUCGGUGGGAAGUCCCCCCACCUUAGUUGUAGAAGGGCACAGUGACUGGCUUUUGCCAAUAAGAUGUAGUAAAAGUACACUGGGCCAGUUCCAGCCUAAGCCUGGAGAAGCUGAGCGGGUUUGGCACUCUGCGGAGCCCUGUGCUACCGUGUAGAAUUUCUCCCUGCUGCGAAAAGCCUCAUGGAGAGGCCACGUGGAAAGGGAGAAACCUCAGCCUCCAUCCGUCUGACCCACUGACUAAAUUCGCAUCAGCAAGACCACCAGAAGAACCGCUCAGCUGAUCCCAGCAGAGCACAGUGUGGAUUUGUGACAACAGAUUUUGCAGCCAGUACAGAGAAGGAAUUCCUGAAUGGAAACACUAAGUCCAAGUACAAAGUCACAAAGAACUGAACUAGAGAGUAGGGCUGGAUCUGAGCAUCUCUGAGAGGCUUUGAUGAACAUGCGUGUCACCAGCCAUGUCAGCCUUGAACUUGUUUCCAAGGAUCUAUGUUGCUUCCUAAAUAUACUGAAUUCUCCAUUUAUAAAUACUCUCAAGUGGGACAUCUUCAUGCUACGUGCAGUGUCAGAGUGAGUUGGACCACGGCUUCCCCCAAGUGGGACGAAACUCCUGUGUAAGGUGGGGAGCCCUGCAUGAAGGGUGCUCUGAUCGACCCUAAGGGUGUCCGAGUCCCAGAUGCUGGUCUCGUGGCUGCCUUGUUACCACUACCCUCAGGGGCGUAUAGGGAUCGUCCUGAUCUAGUCUCUCCUAAAAUACUUUCUCCAGAACAUAGGUUAGUCUGACCAUGUCAUUCCCUGACCAAAAUCCUUCAGGACUCUCCCCACCCCCUGGGCACACUUCAGACCCCCCAGCGUGGCCUGUGUGGCCUUCACUUUCACCUUCUCACCUCACACGGUGCAUUUCCUUUAUAGGACAGACCUCAUUUCGUCUCACACAAGCUGCUGCCUCUACUUGAAGCCUCUCGCCCCUUUAUUUGGAUGGUAGGUUGGCAGAGAGGAAGAGAAAGUCCAGCAUGAAAACGUAGAGCCUGGAGUGGGACAGUCACAUGGCCCUGCUGACAACUUCGGAUUCUGACACUUUCCUUUGGUUUUUAAAAUUUUCACUGAUUUUGAAAGAGACACGAAGAACAAGCAGGGGAAGGGCAGAGAGAGAGAAAGAGGGAGCGAGCGAGCGAGGGAGGGAGACAGAAACCCAAGCAGGCUCCAUACUGUCAGCACAGAGCCCGAUGUGGGGCCUGAACUCAAGAACCGUGAGAGCACAACCUGAGCCGACAUCAAGAGUCGGGCACUUAGCCAACUGAGCCGCCAUCACGUCCCCAUUCUUAUUCUAUCAUUUGUGAAUUCCUUCGGCCAUCCUUGCACCAUCCACAGACCCCAUCUACAUGUAAGACAACCAUGAAGAGAUCAGCAUGCACAGAUGUGCCUACAAAACUGGAUAAAUAUUAGGAUCAGAAUAAAAGCCCGGCGACAACACUGAAUAGAAUGGUUUAUUUUUCAAAAAUCACAGCACAAAGAGGGGACUCUGGAAAGCAGAUGUAUCCAUGUUGCCAUUAGGUAUCCAGAAGGAGAAAGCACAGGAACUGCCCAAGGAGGCCUCUUCUCUUCUUUGUGCCAUAAUAUCACCAACACUCCUUCCAGAGGAAAGAACCCCACGCCCAGCAGGAGAAUGAGGUCUUUGUUCAGUCCAGUAAGGGACAUUUACUGAAUGGCCUGUCUGUAGCAUGCAUUUGGUGACGAACAAUUCAUGUAUAGGUAUGUAUCACAAAUACCAUUGUCUUGCUUCUGCCAGGGCCGUGGGAGGUUGGAGUGCAGACUGCUUUAGGUGGGGGGCAGACUACGUUGGGGAGGACCUGGACCUGGGGAGACAUUAAGUUAGACUCUGAAGCUAUAUGGGAUCUAAACUGAGGAGUUGGAAGAGGGGAACCGAAUACGUGGAAAAACGUACUAUAGAGAGUGAGAGAGUGUUAGCACUGGGAAUAGCAAAAUGUCUGGGAACUUGACUGGAUCAGUCUGGAAGGGAGAUUCAUGCAGAAACUGAGUGCAGGAUAAAUCAGAAGUGUGGGUACUGCAGGCAGGAACACCAAGAAGGGAUUGGUUCUGAUCCAUCUAGAGGCUUGAUGAUAGGAAUCUGGGUCAAGACCAUGGCAGUGAGCAUGGAAGAGAGAGGGAGAUGGGGAGAAAAGAUGGCGGACUGGAUGGGGAGACACAGGAGGAAGGGCACUCAAAGAAGGAUUUUAGCACUUGAGAAUAAAUCAUACCGACUGUGGAAGAAUGGAGACAAAGGAGACUUGUUGAUGGUGGCUGUGAAGACCCCAAAAGGGAGGAAGAGACAGUGGGUCUCUGGAUGAGCACAUCUACCACAUUUACAAGUCCUGUCCCUCAUGUCACAGGAUGCUGGAAGGUGUACGUUUCUCGACCUUGAACAAGGGAGAAAGGCUGGACUUCCAUUCAGCAGACAUUGUCAGGUGCUUGGGUGCCCCUCUACCAGGGGAGAGGGGAACACGGUAUGUUCCUUGUUCCUGGUUCCCAGUCCACUGUAGAGGCAGACAUAUUUUAAGUUCUUAUUAAUUCACAGAGCCAACAGCCUGCAGGCCCCUCAGCCUUUGGGUACCAUCACAAUACAUAACGUGGCAGCCAGUUCCACUGCGCCUGUAGGAAGCACUCAACCAGACUGGGGGAGAGCCCGAGGAGACCGGUCCCGAGAGAAGAGAGCUGAGUGGCAAGGGCCACCUUGCUCUGAGCCCCACACUGCGGUCUCAGCAAAGAUGGACUCAGCAGAUAGCUAUGUGAGGGUCCCCACCUCCUGUUUCCUCUGAGAAGCAGCCAGCCUUACAAACCAACACGUACCCUGUCCCUGCACACCUACCACGCACACUCUUGGCAACGGCAAGGAGGCAACAGACGGAUACCAACUCGGUUGACCAGACUGAAUUUCCCAGGUACCAGGGCCACGAGGCAGACAGAGGCUUGGUGGUCAGGAGCAGCAGGGGCAGUACGAGAAGCGGGGACCAGGGACAGGCUGGGACUGCAGAGAUCUGGGAGAUGCCCGCGGCAGAUGCAGGGGAGAGCAGGUUGUGGGGAUGGUGGCCUUCCAACCAGCGCCAAUGUGGACAGAGGCCAACUGACGAGAUGCCUUCUUCUCAUGGAUACUGGACGCACUGAGAUGAUCCCUGCCGCCACCACAGAAGAAGAAGGCAUCCCUAAACUACAGCAAAGGCCGAUUUAUCUGAGUCUACCAUGAACUCAGAUGAACUUCACACCACAAGACCUGAGUCUGUGCACAUGGACCGCUGCAGUGUGGUAUGCCAGAAGCAGACGGAGCCCGGGUGCCUUCUAGGACAGGGAGCCAUGCCCUGGAGCUCGGCAGUCACCUCUGCAACCGUGAUGAUGUCUCCCUGUUUCAGUUGCUCGACAGGAUACUGUGGGAUGUGGAGGUCGGCACAACAUAGCCCAGGAUGGAUGAAGCCAACCGCUGCAAGAUGGUCACAAGUUCGGAUCCUGUCCCUGCAUCCUCCACUCUGCGUUCCCCGAGGGCUGACAAGACUGCAGUGUCAGGCCCAGGCCCCGCCACUGGGUGGUCCCAUUUCUCCUGAGACUCCCUCUCAGACUCUCUAACAUCCCUUCCCUCCUCCCAGCUGGCAGGACCCA